RNAcentral lists this ribosomal RNA (433 nucleotides) under uncultured bacterium. Its description in RNAcentral is "partial 16S ribosomal RNA". It matches the Rfam family "Bacterial small subunit ribosomal RNA", at positions 29 to 507 of the family's 1533-position model. The record is from RNAcentral.
AACGAACGCUGGCGGCAUGCCUAACACAUGCAAGUCGAACGAGACCUUCGGGUCUAGUGGCGCAAGGGUGCGUAACGCGUGGGAACCUGCCCUUAGGUUCGGAAUAACUCCCCGAAAGGGGUGCUAAUACCGGAUAAUGUCUUCGGACCAAAGAUUGAUCGCCUUUGGAUGGGCCCGCGUUGGAUUAGCUAGUUGGUAGGGUAAAAGCCUACCAAGGCGACGAUCCAUAGCUGGUCUGAGAGGAUGAUCAGCCACACUGGGACUGAGACACGGCCCAGACUCAUACGGGAGGCAGCAGUGGGGAAUAUUGGACAAUGGGCGAAAGCCUGAUCCAGCAAUGCCGCGUGAGUGAUGAAGGCCUUAGGGUUGUAAAGCUCUUUUACCCGGGAUGAUAAUGACAGUACCGGGAGAAUAAGCUCCGGCUAACUCCGUG